UGGGGGAUAUUGCACAAUGGGCGAAAGCCUGAUGCAGCGACGCCGCGUGGGGGAUGAAGGCUUUCGGGUUGUAAACCUCUUUCGCUAUCGAACAAGGCCCGCUUAGGGUGGGUUGAGGGUAGGUGGAGAAGAAGUGCCGGCUAACUACGUGCCAGCAGCCGCGGUAAUACGUAGGGCGCGAGCGUUGUCCGGAAUUAUUGGGCGUAAAGGGCUUGUAGGCGGCUUGUUGCGCCUGCUGUGAAAACGCGGGGCUUAACUUCGCGCGUGCAGUGGGUACGGGCAGGCUUGAGUGUGGUAGGGGUGACUGGAAUUCCAGGUGUAGCGGUGGAAUGCGCAGAUAUCUGGAGGAACACCGAUGGCGAAGGCAGGUCACUGGGCCAUUACUGACGCUGAGGAGCGAAAGCAUGGGUAGCGAACAGG
RNAcentral lists this ribosomal RNA (420 nucleotides) under bacterium. RNAcentral's name for it is "partial 16S ribosomal RNA". It matches the Rfam family "Bacterial small subunit ribosomal RNA", at positions 355 to 776 of the family's 1533-position model. The record is from RNAcentral.